GAUGAACGCUAGCGGCGGGCUUAAUACAUGCAAGUCAAGGGGCCAGCAAUGGCACCGGCGGACGGGUGAGUAACGCGUACACAACGUACCUUUAACUGGGGGAUAGCAUCUGGAAACGGGUGGUAAUACCGCAUGUGGUUGCGGGGAGGCAUCUCCUUGUAACUAAAACUUUGGUGGUUAGAGAUCGGUGUGCGUCUGAUUAGCUAGUUGGUAGGGUAGAGGCCUACCAAGGGCGACGAUCAGUAGGGGGCUGAGAGCGUGAACCCCCACACGGGUACUGAGACACGGACCCGACUCCUACGGGAGGCAGCAGUAAGGAAUAUUGGUCAAUGGAGGGAACUCUGAACCAGCCAUGCCGCGUGAAGGAAGAAGGCGCUACGCGUUGUAAACUUCUUUUGGGUGGGACGAAAAUAAUCCAUUUAUGGAUAGCUGACGGUACCAUCAGAAUAAGCACCGGCUAACUCCGUGCCAGCAGCCGCGGUAAU
This 485-nucleotide ribosomal RNA is filed under the name uncultured bacterium. Its description in RNAcentral is "bacterial SSU rRNA". It matches the Rfam family "Bacterial small subunit ribosomal RNA", at positions 28 to 524 of the family's 1533-position model. The record is from RNAcentral.